GUCCGGGUGGCGGAAUGGUAGACGCGCUAGCUUGAGGUGCUAGUGGUCAUUUUUAAACGACCGUGCGGGUUCAAGUCCCGCUCCGGACACGA
Molecule: transfer RNA, 92 nt
Filed under: Pseudoscardovia radai
Lineage: Bacteria; Bacillati; Actinomycetota; Actinomycetes; Bifidobacteriales; Bifidobacteriaceae
Description: tRNA-Leu
Rfam family: tRNA
About the family: Transfer RNA (tRNA) molecules are approximately 80 nucleotides in length. Their secondary structure includes four short double-helical elements and three loops (D, anti-codon, and T loops).
Source: RNAcentral